UUAGUUAUACGUAACACAGAAUAUAUAAUAAUAUGGAGGGGAGGUUAUUGACGGUGUUGGUCUGCCUUGUCUCUACGGUGGCGAUAGUGAACGCAGGCGAUCCUUACUUCUUCUAUACAUGGAACGUGACUUAUGGAACUGCCUCACCUCUCGGCGUUCCCCAAAAGGUGAUUCUCAUCAACGGUCAGUUUCCUGGUCCUAACCUAAACUCAACCUCUAACAACAACGUCGUCGUCAAUGUCUUCAACAACCUCGACGAGCCUUUCCUCUUGACCUGGUAACUUAACUAUAUAGUCCCUAUUCUUUGUUAGAUUAUGGUCUUAGUAGAUCUUAAUAGGGUUAGCCCUACGGUUUUCUCUUUUCGGUUUAUUCGUUUUCGGUUAGUUCGGUUUGGCCACAAUCUCACCAAAUUGAACCCAAAAGAAUUCGGUUUGUAUUGUUUUGGUAGUUUUUGGUUUUAAAAAUUUUAUUAAUAAUAACUGAUUUUUGGUUUCGAUUUAAUUUUGGUUUAAGUUUAAAAAAAACUCAGCUAUUUUUUUGUUAUUUUUGGUUAAAUCAGUUAUUUUUAUUAGUUUGGUUAUUUUGGAUAAUUUGGUUAUUUUUUUAAAAAAAAAUGUAGUACUCUAUUUUCUUUGAAACCCAACUAACUGAGUGCCAAAUCGAAAGUAUUUUCAAAUCCUAACUAUACCAAACUCAAAAUCCGAAUCGAACCGAAAACCAAUUUUUUUUUAUUAUGUUCGGUUCAAUUCUGCAAGGCUAAUUAGGGUUGCUGUAAGAGAAUACCUUGUCCGGUCUGUCCAGCUUUAAGGCAAAACAAGCCUGUUCUUUGACUGACUCCUAUGUAAUAUGAGUACUAAUGGUGGAACGUGGUUGCAGGAGUUUCUUCACAUUGAGCUAGCCUCUCCCACCAACAUUUCUAUCUUAUGUUUUAGUGUACUCUUUGUUGUUCAUCUGACCGUUGGGAUUAACUCCGGGUUGUAUCCACUUAACUUUUAAAUUUUAAUAUAUUACGUUGACAAAAAAAAAAAAAACUGACUAAACUCAGAGAGAACAUUUUUAAAAUAACUAACCAUCGAGUUUAUUCAUCUUCUUAGAACUGACUAAACUCAUCUUCAACAUUGAUUCAGUUUAUGUGAUGUAUUUUUGUUUUUGCUUGCUACCGUUAUGCACACAUAACCAAUCACACGAUUUACUUAUUAUCACAUAUUUGGGAUCUUCAAAAUUGUAUUUUCAGUACAAAAUAAAUGUUUCGACGAAUUACAGUAACUCAUUUAAUUUUGUCUCAAAAAAGAAUACGAGAUAUUAUUUUUGUAAAACGCAUUUUAGACGGUGAGGCUGCGGUCCAUAAUGCAUGACUAAAAAACACAAUAUUGCACUACAAGGAAAUAAAGCUUGUACACGAGAAACCGUCUAGGAAUUAAAGUACUCGAUCGAUCACAGAAUCUGAAUGCCACAAAUAAUUCCAAACUAGUAUAUGUUUUUGGUAUUUCAGCGCUAAGUCCUCACAAAUCUAUCAAAAUUAAUAUAAUACAUUUGACGUUGUUCACAAUCUUGUCAUGGUAAAAUUUUACAGGUAACAUUUUAUUGACGUGUAACAAAACAUGCACUUGGCAAAAAAACGUCGUUAAGGACAUUUCCAAUAUUAGAAUACGAUCUUAGUUGUUAUGAUUCAUAGUUCUGGUACCUUGAAAACCAAAACGAAAAAGAUAGAGAAAAAAGUUUGUUGCAUCACCACAUUCACAUAUAGAAAAUCGAAUUAGAGAUGGAGCGUAAAAUAUGGCAACAAUACCUUGCAAAAUAAGUUAUGUUUUCCCUGCAUAAAUACUUCGAAUCACCCAAACGACAAGAGGAUUCAUCCACAGCAAAACUUGCUUUUGAGGGGGAAUCAAUAGAAGUAUUUUUUUUUCUUUUAUUUUUUGUAGGAAAGGGUUAGUUAUACGUAACACAGAAUAUAUAAUAAUAUGGAGGGGAGGUUAUUGACGGUGUUGGUCUGCCUUGUCUCUACGGUGGCGAUAGUGAACGCAGGCGAUCCUUACUUCUUCUAUACAUGGAACGUGACUUAUGGAACUGCCUCACCUCUCGGCGUUCCCCAAAAGGUGAUUCUCAUCAACGGUCAGUUUCCUGGUCCUAACCUAAACUCAACCUCUAACAACAACGUCGUCGUCAAUGUCUUCAACAACCUCGACGAGCCUUUCCUCUUGACCUGGUAACUUAACUAUAUAGUCCCUAUUCUUUGUUAGAUUAUGGUCUUAGUAGAUCUUAAUAGGGUUAGCCCUACGGUUUUCUCUUUUCGGUUUAUUCGUUUUCGGUUAGUUCGGUUUGGCCACAAUCUCACCAAAUUGAACCCAAAAGAAUUCGGU
This 2360-nucleotide long non-coding RNA is filed under the name Brassica napus (rape). RNAcentral describes it as "long non-coding RNA (BNAP_LNC014636)". The record is from RNAcentral. Lineage: Eukaryota; Viridiplantae; Streptophyta; Magnoliopsida; Brassicales; Brassicaceae.